GCUCUCUUCGGAGGGAGCGGCGGACGGGUUAGUAACGCGUGGGAACGUACCCAGAUCUAAGGAAUAGCCACUGGAAACGGUGAGUAAUACCUUAUACGCCCUUCGGGGGAAAGAUUUAUCGGAUUUGGAUCGGCCCGCGUUAGAUUAGAUAGUUGGUGGGGUAACGGCCUACCAAGUCUACGAUCUAUAGCUGGUUUUAGAGGAUGAUCAGCAACACUGGGACUGAGACACGGCCCAGACUCCUACGGGAGGCAGCAGUGGGGAAUCUUGGACAAUGGGCGCAAGCCUGAUCCAGCCAUGCCGCGUGAGUGAUGAAGGCCUUAGGGUCGUAAAGCUCUUUCGCCUGUGAAGAUAAUGACGGUAGCAGGUAAAGAAACCCCGGCUAACUCCGUGCCAGCAGCCGCGGUAAUACGGAGGGGGUUAGCGUUGUUCGGAAUUACUGGGCGUAAAGCGCACGUAGGCGGACUGGAAAGUUGGGGGUGAAAUCCCAGGGCUCAACCCUGGAACUGCCUCCAAAACUAUCAGUCUAGAGUUCGAGAGAGGUGAGUGGAAUUCCGAGUGUAGAGGUGAAAUUCGUAGAUAUUCGGAGGAACACCAGUGGCGAAGGCGGCUCACUGGCUCGAUACUGACGCUGAGGUGCGAAAGUGUGGGGAGCAAACAGGAUUAGAUACCCUGGUAGUCCACACCGUA
RNAcentral lists this ribosomal RNA (690 nucleotides) under Ruegeria sp. M714. RNAcentral's name for it is "bacterial SSU rRNA". It matches the Rfam family "Bacterial small subunit ribosomal RNA", at positions 72 to 804 of the family's 1533-position model. The record is from RNAcentral. Lineage: Bacteria; Pseudomonadati; Pseudomonadota; Alphaproteobacteria; Rhodobacterales; Roseobacteraceae.